This 475-nucleotide long non-coding RNA is filed under the name Oryctolagus cuniculus (rabbit). RNAcentral's name for it is "lncRNA (ENSOCUG00000035663.1)". The record is from RNAcentral. Lineage: Eukaryota; Metazoa; Chordata; Mammalia; Lagomorpha; Leporidae.
CUGUUCUCAGAUAUGAGCCCCCAAGAGAGAGCAGAAAGCAUGUCAAAUUCAUAGCAUAAUUAAGUACCCACACCAGAGGCUCCCACAUUGUUAGUUGAACUGAACUGCACAGGGUACCCAGGAAGUCCUACUGCAGGCUUUGAUUUCAUGUGACAAUGGAGGUAAAAUAUGGCUUUUAGAGAUGGGUAAUAGAAAUGUUAAUAAAAUUUAAAGAAAAUGUUUUUUUUUUUUUUUUUUCUGGAACCCACAAUAAUAUCAAUUGCAAACAUUUAAUGUUUAGAAGAAGUUGUUUCUUUGCCAUACAUUCUGUGUAACUAGACUUGCUAAGAAGCUCAGUUGAGAAUUCUAGGGGUGCUGGGCUAUUGUCCCCUGAAGACCAGUGCUCACUAUUCAGCAUGUUCCUGCCACUGUCUCACCCCUUCAAGGAUUUCUAAAAAGUCAGAAUUAUGCCUGGACAAAGCAGCCCUAAAGAGAA